GUGGGGAAUCUUGCGCAAUGGGCGAAAGCCUGACGCAGCAACGCCGCGUGCGGGAAGAAGGCCCUCGGGUUGUAAACCGCUUUCAGAAGGAACGAAACUGACGGUACUUUCAGAAGAAGGUGCGGCCAACUACGUGCCAGCAGCCGCGGUGACACGUAGGCACCAAGCGUUGUCCGGAUUUAUUGGGCGUAAAGAGCUCGUAGGCGGUUCGAUAAGUCGGGUGUGAAAACUUUGGGCUCAACCCAAAGCGUGCAUUCGAUACUGUUGUGACUAGAGUUCGGUAGGGGAGUGGGGAAUUCCUAGUGUAGCGGUGAAAUGCGCAGAUAUUAGGAGGAACACCGGUGGCGAAGGCGCCACUCUGGGCCGAAACUGACGCUGAGGAGCGAAAGCGUGGGUAGCAAACAGGAUUAGAUACCCGGGUAGUCC
RNAcentral lists this ribosomal RNA (426 nucleotides) under uncultured bacterium. Its description in RNAcentral is "bacterial SSU rRNA". It matches the Rfam family "Bacterial small subunit ribosomal RNA", at positions 354 to 796 of the family's 1533-position model. The record is from RNAcentral.